ACUGCAGUUUAGCAAGCCGCUGGUACCAAAAAAAAUCGUUUCCACAUUGAAGUCCAUUUAAAACUACCAAUGUGACCGGACCACAUUACCUCCCAUCCCCCCAAGUUACGCUUAACUUCCUACUGGACCAGCAUUAUGUAAAACUUUGGUUUUCCAUAAUAUAGUGUAAUCAUGUUUGGUAUCGUUGGAAAUCUGAUGGGUGCAGCCAGGACAGGGCGACAAAGCAGCCCUUAAUGACAUGCGAUCUCUGUCAGGGGGGGAGCGCUCGUUCUCCAUCGUGUGUUUUGUGUUGUCGCCCUGGACCAUUGACGAGGCCCCCUUACAAUGUCUGGACGAGUUUGACGUCUAAAUGGAUAUGGACAACCGGAGAAUAUCCCUCGACAUGAUGCUUAGGAUCGCUGCUAGCCAACGUUUCCGACAGUUCAUUUUCCUCACCCCUCAGAACGAGCUCCCUCCCACUCAGCAACCUGAUCCGGGUUCAUCGGCUGAAGGAUCCAGACCGCACCCAGACUGUGCUGCCCUUCGGCAAAGGGAACCGAGAGGAGGCGGAGGGAUGAGGUAGAGCACCCUCCCGUCCCCAGGCUCCGUUACCCAAUCAGCACCCUUACUAAGGGAAUCAUGCCAUUCUUUGGACUGGGAGAUGCAAAACCAAAAACUAAAAAAAUAAAGCUUGGAUAAUGAAAGAUUGUUAAAUGGCCCACAUUUGGAAUAUUUUAGUUCUGCGGAAGGAAAUUUUCAGUUACAAAGGUAAGAUGUUUCUGAGAAGAAAUGUCCCAGUCACAAAACAUUUGAAUUCUUUUUCUAAUAACCAAUCAGAUUUAUACUUUAAUAUGUUAGCUUUGUUUUAAGCAGUUUAAAUUAUUGAGUUCAAUCAGAAACAUAUUAUAAAUGGUGGGUGACUCUUUCUAUCCAGUUCAUUUUGUCAUAUUUUAGUUCCUGGGGGAGAGGAGGAUCAUCCACUUUUGUGUGUUCUGUUUGUGUUGUAUACUAAAAUUGUAUGCUUACAUAAAGUUCGCAUAUGAAAAUUG
This is a long non-coding RNA of Anguilla anguilla (European eel), 1028 nucleotides long. RefSeq lists it as uncharacterized. NCBI's taxonomy places the organism in Eukaryota, Metazoa, Chordata, Actinopteri, Anguilliformes, Anguillidae. The transcript is spliced from 4 exons. The record is from RefSeq and is a predicted model, not a curated record.